GUGCUCACUUCAGCAGCACAUACACUAAAACUGAAACAGUACAGAGGAGAUUAGCAUGGCCCCUGUGCAAGGAUGACACACAAAUUCGUGAAGCAUUCCUUAUUUUG
Small nuclear RNA from Budorcas taxicolor (takin), 107 nucleotides. The record is from RefSeq and is a predicted model, not a curated record. Lineage: Eukaryota; Metazoa; Chordata; Mammalia; Artiodactyla; Bovidae.